Mustela lutreola (European mink) is the source of this 956-nucleotide long non-coding RNA. RefSeq lists it as uncharacterized. NCBI's taxonomy places the organism in Eukaryota, Metazoa, Chordata, Mammalia, Carnivora, Mustelidae. The record is from RefSeq and is a predicted model, not a curated record. The transcript has 3 exons.
UCCACGUGGAAGGAGCGCUCCACGUGGCGCCUCCUGCUACCUGCCGCGUCCGCUGAUCCGGCUGAGGCCCCGGGCAGACCCGCAGCGCUGAGGGGAGGGAGCACGCCAGCAGCAAAAUGGAUUUCCCAAGGAGUUGUUUUGGUGCUGGUGGAGCAAACUCACGCCCCUAGCCAGCCUUCUCAGCAACUCGUGCCAAGAGUACUCGUUCACCAGCACCGCCCCUUUAAGAGAUUUCGACUGCAGACAUUUUUUUAACUUUUUAAAGACAGGAUGAAGAAUCCGAAAAGGGCUGGAGUGCAUGACCUCCAACUGAAGUUCUCUGAGGAGCUUCUAUCAAACUAAGCAACCAAGAAAUACAGAGGUUAGAUUGGGUUAGACUGGAAAGUGCCAUUAAGAACUUCUAAAAGUAAGACUGCAUAAAAUGAGGCCAAAAGAGAAGGAAAAUCCAAGGCAUAUUAUCUAAGAUGAUUUUAAAGACCAGGAUGUUAUAUACUGAAAUAUUAGCUGUGAGUUUUGGCCCUUAAGACCUGCCUGCUUUUUUUGGUUCCUGAACAUUUCUGACAUACACCUAAAUCCUUUAAAAUAUGUUUGUUUCUGUGAGUGGGUGUGUGGUAUGGUUUAAGUACCCAUAGAAAUUAUUUUAAUUUUAAAAUGUGUGCUGAGCACCUCCUUGAAAUAGAUGGUAACAGCCUGGUGAGCAAAGAUUUUUUUUUUUUAUUCUUGUAUCUCUAGACCCAGGCACUUAGCAGGCACUCAAUAAAUGUCUAUGAAAUAAAUCAAUCGUAAAUCAAAUCAUGCUCAAUACAAUAAAAUCAUUUGGUGCAUUCAAGAAGAAUGUGAAAAAAAAAAAAAACGACUUAUUGUCACAGUGAACUUUAGGUUUCAGUUCAGUCAUUUGUUUACCCAGCUAUUAGCAUUUUCCUGGUCACCUCCUUCAGGAAAUACUUAUCUUACAA